RNAcentral lists this ribosomal RNA (494 nucleotides) under uncultured bacterium. RNAcentral's name for it is "partial 16S ribosomal RNA". It matches the Rfam family "Bacterial small subunit ribosomal RNA", at positions 28 to 506 of the family's 1533-position model. The record is from RNAcentral.
GAUGAACGCUGGCGGCGUGCCUAAUACAUGCAAGUAGAACGCUGAAGGAGGAGCUUGCUCUUCUGGAUGAGUUGCGAACGGGUGAGUAACGCGUAGGUAACCUGCCUGGUAGCGGGGGAUAACUAUUGGAAACGAUAGCUAAUACCGCAUGACAACAGUUAUUGCAUGAUAACUGUUUAAAAGGGGCAGCUGCUCCACUACCAGAUGGACCUGCGUUGUAUUAGCUAGUUGGUGAGGUAACGGCUCACCAAGGCGACGAUACAUAGCCGACCUGAGAGGGUGAUCGGCCACACUGGGACUGAGACACGGCCCAGACUCCUACGGGAGGCAGCAGUAGGGAAUCUUCGGCAAUGGACGGAAGUCUGACCGAGCAACGCCGCGUGAGUGAAGAAGGUUUUCGGAUCGUAAAGCUCUGUUGUAAGAGAAGAACGAGUGUGAGAGUGGAAAGUUCACACUGUGACGGUAUCUUACCAGAAAGGGACGGCUAACUACGU